RNAcentral lists this long non-coding RNA (618 nucleotides) under Setaria viridis. RNAcentral's name for it is "long non-coding RNA (SVIR_LNC009966)". The record is from RNAcentral. Lineage: Eukaryota; Viridiplantae; Streptophyta; Magnoliopsida; Poales; Poaceae.
UGUGUGUCACAAUUUAUAAGGAUAUAAAGUGAUGAGAAUAUAGAUUUCUAUGCUAAAAUUGUAUCUCAAACUUAGGGUUCAUUAAACAAAUUCAAGCGUAUACCUGUGAUGCAAAGUGAAAAGUUAAAGAUUAAAAAUGUGGAUGAAAAUAUUAUAGAGUAAUUACUAACUAAAAUCUAAAACAAUUGGAUGAUGAUAUUAAGUAUAUAUAUCUACAUAAGUAUUGUGUUCGAAUAUUUAACAAACGAGAGGUAGCUUAUGGUAAUAGUUUUGUAGCAAUGUAUUCUCAUUUUUUUUUCCAUUGGAGACUCCGCAUUAGUUCCCACGAGACAAGCUAGAAAAAAGAGACAAAUUCUCAUAAAAUUAAAAACAUAAAACACCAAUCCUGUAAACUCUAAUAAUCAUAGCCAUUGAUCUAUUAUAUUUUCUAAAAAGUUACCCACCACUGUCAUUAUGAAAAUAUUCAAAAAUGAGCUCUAAACCUAUAUCUAAAUUACUAUGCUCAGCUAUUAUAAAAAAUAAUCUAAAGUAAUCCCAUAAUCUCCGUCCAAUUUACUAAUACACAUCAUUAUAAAGCAUAACUUAAAAUGUCAUUCUAAAAUUUUAUCUAUAUUACCC